Molecule: long non-coding RNA, 642 nt
Organism: Ruditapes philippinarum (Manila clam)
Lineage: Eukaryota; Metazoa; Mollusca; Bivalvia; Venerida; Veneridae
Exons: 2
Source: RefSeq, a predicted model, not a curated record
GAAUCUCCAGUCUAAAUUUAGCAUUUGCUAUUUUAAGAAUGGAAAAGUACACAUUUGGUUUUCCAUUUUCAAUUUCCGCUUUACUGCUUCUUAUCUCAAAACACAGCGACACAGUCUACUUCUUGUGGGUCAUUGACUGGUUUAUAUUUUUAUCUCCCCUUCUGUAUUAAAUAUCGAUAUGAAAAGUAACACAGUCUAAUACACUGGCCCUCGCCGUUUGUUUACAUCAGCUGAUAAAUAUGAGACUAAUUGUCAUGAACAUACCUGGCAGUUUGUUGAAUAUGCAUUGGAAAAUUGGGUCUAAAUAUUUAAUAUGAAACUAUAAGUAGCGGCAUCCCAAGAUUAUCGCUAAUCAAAUCUGAAGUUUGGGUAUGAAAUAGCGACAAAUUAUGUUCUGCAGUUGACAACUUGACCUGUUGACGAUACAGAUAGUCUUCAAGCCAAAUCUUUGUCAUUAACCAAGCAAGCUGAAGCAGCACAUUGGAAUGUGUUUCUGCUGUUACUGUCAUGCCACUGACUUAACCAGGCAAAUGUCAUAGCUACUGAGCGGGAAGCUUUUAUAAUUAUUGACUGUAAAUUUUAUAAGUUUGAUGUGUUAAUGUGAUAAAAAAUGUAGGAACCAAAAUAAAAAAGUGGACAAUA